AAAAAAUUUACCUAUAAUGAGUGCUAGAAAGCACAAAACCGACAUGUAUUAGGAAGUAGGGAAAGAGGUGUAAAUCCUCUACAGCCCCAAUCUACUGUAAAAAUGACGAAAUCUCAAAUACCACUGAAUAGAUUUUUAUUCGGGAAGGUGAGAAAGUAGGAUGAAUUUGAGUCAGGAUACCUCUCUUAAUACCCAUAGUUAC
Regulatory RNA element from Carnobacterium maltaromaticum LMA28, 202 nucleotides. NCBI's taxonomy places the organism in Bacteria, Bacillati, Bacillota, Bacilli, Lactobacillales, Carnobacteriaceae. The record is from Rfam.